This 969-nucleotide long non-coding RNA is filed under the name Monodelphis domestica (gray short-tailed opossum). RNAcentral describes it as "lncRNA (ENSMODG00000042712.1)". Lineage: Eukaryota; Metazoa; Chordata; Mammalia; Didelphimorphia; Didelphidae. The record is from RNAcentral.
CAAAAGACAAAAUGGAAAAAUGCUAUCAAGAAUUUAAAAAUGUUUACAUGAACUCAUCUUCAGUGCAACUAGAAUUAGAAGUGAAACUACAGAAGUUUGGGAAAUUUUGUGUCAAAUAUUUCUUGGGGGGGGGGAGUCUGAUAUACAAGAUAUCCUCCACAAAGUUCUAUUUUAACGUCUCAUUGUUGAGGCUAGAUUCAUAUUAGCCAUAGCAGUGAUGCACAAGCUCUGAGAGGUUAUACCUUGAUGGAAAGGUUUUUAUUAUAGUCCUGGCAAGAAACUGUCUGCUUUCUGGGAACCAGCCUCGACCGUUUUGGGAUAGCUAUUCACAACCGACAAUGAAUCCUUUGACCAUGGCAAACUAUGCAGGAAACAAAGAAGAAUCCAAAAUGGAGCCCUCAGUGUGCUUCUCAGUAGUGAUGACAGAAUAGCAGAGAAGAGACAUAAGUUGUUUCUUCUAUGUAAAGCCUGCAUUUUUCUCGAACUAGAUCAUAACCUCACUGAAGAUAAAAGCAUUUCUACUUUUCCAGCUCUAAUAGAGGAUAUAACCACCAACUACUCAGUUUUGCUUCUUCCUGUAUGGUUCCUGAGUAUGCAAACUAAAAUAGAAAUAAGGGGGAUAAAAAAAUCUCCUAAAGGAGGAAGACAUUUAAGCAAUGACCCUUCAUUCCACCAGUUUUACAUGUUGAUUUUCUUUUAUCUGCUCAGCUGGGAGCCUCAUUUAACAGACUUGAGGCAGAUUACAAAUUACAAAUCUCCCCCUCCAAAUUCCAAACCCAUUUGAUAAUCUCUCAGCUCAUAAAUUUAGCACUGAAGCAAUGUAACAUUUUAAACUUGAGACCAGUGAAGCAAAUCUCUGCAAAUUUUUAAGAAAAGAAUGGUUCUUUGCUAUCUUUCUGGAGUGUCUUUGGGUGGGAUUCUUCCCAGAGGCAUUAAGAUGGAAUAAAUGACACCGUGCAGUCUCUUCCA